UACGUAGGGGGCAAGCGUUGUCCGGAUUUAUUGGGCGUAAAGAGCGUGUAGGCGGCCAGAUAGGUCCGCUGUGAAAACUCGAGGCUCAACCUCGAGCUGUCGGUGGAAACCAUCUGGCUAGAGUCCGGAAGAGGAGAGUGGAAUUCCCGGUGUAGCGGUGAAAUGCGCAGAUAUCGGGAAGAACACCCGUGGCGAAGGCGGCUCUCUGGGACGGUACUGACGCUGAGACGCGAAAGCGUGGGGAGCGAACAGG
This 253-nucleotide ribosomal RNA is filed under the name uncultured bacterium. RNAcentral's name for it is "partial 16S ribosomal RNA". It matches the Rfam family "Bacterial small subunit ribosomal RNA", at positions 524 to 776 of the family's 1533-position model. The record is from RNAcentral.